UACGGAGGGCGCGAGCGUUGUCCGGAAUCACUGGGCGUAAAGGGCGCGUAGGCGGCGGGCGAAGCGUGCGGUGAAAGCCCGGGGCUCAACCCCGGGUCGGCCGUGCGAACCGGCCCGCUCGAGCACACUAGGGGCGGGUGGAAUUCCGGGAGUAGCGGUGGAAUGCGUAGAGAUCCGGAAGAACACCGGUGGCGAAGGCGGCCCGCUGGGGUGUGGCUGACGCUGAGGCGCGACAGCGUGGGGAGCAAACAGG
This 253-nucleotide ribosomal RNA is filed under the name uncultured bacterium. Its description in RNAcentral is "partial 16S ribosomal RNA". It matches the Rfam family "Bacterial small subunit ribosomal RNA", at positions 524 to 776 of the family's 1533-position model. The record is from RNAcentral.